CCCUCGAAACAGAGCAACAGCAAGUACGCGGCCAGCAGCUACCUGGCCCUGACGGCCAGCGAGUGGAAAUCUUACGAGAGUGUCAGCUGCCAGGUCACGCACGAGGGGAGAACCGUGCAGAAGACAGUGUCGCCCUCCGAGUGCCCCUAG
Non-coding RNA from Lipotes vexillifer (Yangtze River dolphin), 150 nucleotides. Lineage: Eukaryota; Metazoa; Chordata; Mammalia; Artiodactyla; Lipotidae. The record is from the annotation of a RefSeq genome assembly.